CGUGUAGGCGGUCGGUCAAGUCCGAUGUGAAAGCCCGGGGCUCAGCUCCGGAAGGGCAUCGGAAACUAGCCGGCUAGAGCGCGAUAGAGGAGGGUGGAAUUCCUGGUGUAGCGGUGAAAUGCGUAGAUAUCAGGAGGAACACCGGCGGCGAAGGCGGCCCUCUGGAUCGUUGCUGACGCUGAGACGCGAAAGCGUGGGGAGCAAACAGGAUUAGAUACCCUGGUAGUCCACGCUGUAAACGAUGGGUACUAGGUGUUCGGGGUAUUGACCCCUGAGUGCCGCAGCUAACGCAUUAAGUACCCCGCCUGGGGACUACGGCCGCAAGGUUAAA
Molecule: ribosomal RNA, 331 nt
Filed under: uncultured bacterium
Lineage: Bacteria
Description: bacterial SSU rRNA
Rfam family: Bacterial small subunit ribosomal RNA
Source: RNAcentral